GAUUUCUGAUUGAUUUCUCUAGUCCGCUGAGGUAACUCAUGUGUGUGCUGGAAGAAAUCAGUCAUCCAUGUAGAGAGGUCACUGCCGGCUCCGCCGGUGGGUGGUUCGAUCUGCAUCUUUUACUUUGAAAAAAUUAGAGUGUUUAAAGCAGGCUUGCGCUAUGAAUACAUUAGCAUGGAAUAAUAAUAUAGGACUUCGGUCUCUAUUUUGUUGGUUCUAGAACUGAAGUAAUGAUUGAUAGGGACAGUUGGGGGUGCUCGUAUUCAGCGGCCAGAGGUGAAAUUCUUGGAUUCGCUGAAGACGAACUUAUGCGAAAGCAUU
This 321-nucleotide ribosomal RNA is filed under the name uncultured Protaspa. RNAcentral describes it as "SSU rRNA". The stretch from base 109 to 321 matches the Rfam family "Eukaryotic small subunit ribosomal RNA", at positions 741 to 955 of the family's 1831-position model. Lineage: Eukaryota; Cercozoa; Thecofilosea; Cryomonadida. The record is from RNAcentral.